AUCUAUAUAGUAUAAAUUUUACAUUUAAUUUCCAAUUAAAAAAAAUAAUAUAAAUAUUAUUAUAGGUA
RNAcentral lists this transfer RNA (68 nucleotides) under Orancistrocerus aterrimus. RNAcentral describes it as "tRNA-Gly". The record is from RNAcentral. Lineage: Eukaryota; Metazoa; Arthropoda; Insecta; Hymenoptera; Vespidae.